UACGUAGGUGGCAAGCGUUGUCCGGAUUUACUGGGCGUAAAGAGCGCGCAGGCGGUCGUCCAAGUCGCGUGUGAAAGCCCCCGGCUUAACUGGGGAGGGUCACGCGAUACUGAUCGACUCGAAGGCAGGAGAGGGUAGUGGAAUUCCCGGUGUAGUGGUGAAAUGCGUAGAUAUCGGGAGGAACACCAGUGGCGAAGGCGACUACCUGGCCUGUUCUUGACGCUGAGGCGCGAAAGCUAGGGGAGCAAACGGG
RNAcentral lists this ribosomal RNA (253 nucleotides) under uncultured bacterium. RNAcentral describes it as "partial 16S ribosomal RNA". It matches the Rfam family "Bacterial small subunit ribosomal RNA", at positions 524 to 776 of the family's 1533-position model. The record is from RNAcentral.